Molecule: RNA transcript, 6001 nt
Organism: Erinaceus europaeus (western European hedgehog)
Lineage: Eukaryota; Metazoa; Chordata; Mammalia; Eulipotyphla; Erinaceidae
Gene: RIC8B
Gene name: RIC8 guanine nucleotide exchange factor B
Exons: 12
Source: RefSeq, a predicted model, not a curated record
UUUAAGAGGGGUAGGAAAGCGUCUCAUCAGCUGAGGAGAAUGAUUCAGAGAGAAGGGUCAGGGCCAAACAGUUCCGUCUGUGAAAGCCCGCUGAGAAGGGAGAACUCUUCUCGGAGAGAGGGAGCGGCCAGAGAGCCGGCAGGGCCUCGGGCCUGACCCCGCCUCAGGCCUUUCUCGAGUCCUGGGCCUGGUCCGGGGCAGCCUCGAGGCGCCGGUUGCUGGGGGAGCAGUGACGUUGCGGGGUGAAAGUUGAGGGGCGGUGACGUCGGGCCUCCCGGGCGGAGGCCGGGGGAUUGGAGGCAGGAGGAAGGGAGGGAAAGAGGGAAGGAAGGAAGCUGGGAAGGAGCGAGCGGGGGCGCGAGGCGUUUACCAGGAGGCAGCGGCUGGGGCGCGCACAGCGGCCGCGGCUCCCCCGCACCUGCGGCCAUGGACGAGGAGCGCGCCCUCUACAUCGUCCGGGCCGGCGAGGCGGGGGCUAUCGAGCGGGUCCUGAGGGAUUACAGCGACAAGCAUAGGGCUACUUUCAAGUUCGAAUCCACAGAUGAAGAUAAAAGAAAGAAACUCUGUGAAGGUAUAUUUAAAGUCCUUGUAAAGGAUAUCCCAACAACAUGUCAAGUGUCCUGUCUAGAAGUUCUCCGCAUUCUCUCCAGAGACAAAAAGGUUUUAGUUCCUGUAACAACCAAGGAAAAUAUGCAGAUACUGCUGCGACUAGCCAAGCUAAAUGAGUCGGAUGAUUCUUUGGAGAAGGCGUCAGAGUUCCCAGUUAUUGUGGAGUCCUUGAAAUGUCUGUGUAAUAUAGUAUUCAACAGUCAGAUGGCACAGCAGCUUAGUCUGGAUCUUAACCUUGCUGCAAAGCUCUGUAACCUUCUGAGGAAGUGCAAGGACCGAAAAUUUAUCAGUGACAUUAAGUGUUUUGAUUUGCGCUUGCUUUUCCUCCUGUCACUUUUGCACACCGACAUCAGGUCACAAUUGCGUUAUGAGCUCCAGGGACUACCGCUGCUAACCCAGAUCCUGGAAAGUGCCUUUAGCAUCAAGUGGACCGAUGAGUAUGAAUCAGCCAUAGACCAUAAUGGACCUCCUCUCUCACCUCAGGAGACAGACUGUGCCAUUGAAGCCCUUAAAGCUCUCUUCAAUGUGACAGUAGACAGUUGGAAAGUGCAUAAAGAGAGUGAUUCUCAUCAAUUCCGUGUCAUGGCAGCUGUCCUUCGCCAUUGUUUACUAAUCGUAGGUCCAACUGAGGACAAAACAGAAGAGUUGCACAGCAAUGCAGUCAACCUUUUAAGCAAUGUUCCGGUCUCUUGUUUGGAUGUUCUCAUUUGUCCCUUAACCCAUGAAGAAACAGCUCAAGAGGCAACAACUCUAGAUGAAUUGCCCAGUGAUAAAACAGAUGAGGAGGGAACAGUUUUGCAAAGCAAUACCAUGGUAUACAAUGGUAUGAAUAUGGAGGCCAUUCAUGUUUUACUCAGUUUUAUGGAGAAGAGAAUAGACAAGGGAAGCAGCUAUAGAGAGGGUCUAACUCCAGUCCUCAGCUUAUUAACAGAAUGCUCCCGAGCCCAUCGAAACAUCAGAAAAUUUCUCAAAGAUCAGGUUUUACCGCCUUUGAGGGAUGUGACAAAUCGACCUGAAGUUGGUUCAACUGUGAGAAAUAAGCUGGUACGCCUCAUGACACACGUUGACCUUGGAGUCAAGCAAAUUGCUGCUGAAUUUCUUUUUGUCCUUUGCAAAGAGAGAGUGGACAGCCUGCUGAAAUACACUGGCUAUGGGAAUGCCGCAGGACUGUUGGCAGCCCGAGGCCUCUUGGCUGGAGGAAGAGGAGAUAAUUGGUACUCAGAGGAUGAGGACACAGACACUGAAGAAUACAAAAAUGCAAAACCAAACAUUAAUCUUAUCACUGGUCAUUUAGAGGAACCAAUGCCAAACCCCAUAGAUGAAAUGACAGAAGAACAAAAAGAAUAUGAAGCCAUGAAACUUGUCAACAUGCUUGAUAAACUUUCCAGGAGAGCAGAUGUGAAGGACCUGCACCAGGAUGGUGGUUAGCAUCAGUGGCUCCUGCCAAAGCACUUACCAAAGUGAUGACUAAGGUUGGUCAUGCCCAGUAUUGUUACUCAGCCUGGUGUAGGGUAUAGCUGUUAUUCACUAUCAACUCUGUAAAACCACCAAUGCAAAAUUUAAGAUCAUACUGACAUUUUUAUUUUAUCUUCAUGCCGAACAUCGCCACUCCACCUCACCAGCUAGAUUUCCAAGAACAUAAAAUAAAAGAGAUUGAUGCUCAGACAUUCUCUUCCCACUGAAUACCAACUGACAAUAUUCUCAGCAAAAUAAUAAGUGAUUUAAGUUUAAGUAUUUGUGGUGGCAGGAGACUUAAGAGUCUGCGAAUAACCUGAACUCUGUAGCCCCACCAUGCCCAGCUAGUACAGUGCCUUGCCUCCUGUGGUUUCCCCAGUUUGACUGCUCCCCAAAUCUAUAGGCUUUUUUUUUUUUUUUUGCUUUAUAUAGUAGUCCAUAUGGUUUAAGACUUUAAAGAAUACCUUUGUAAAUUUCAUUUCCUAGCAAGAUUUCAUGAGGACUGGGAAGGAAAUCCAUAAGAGACUUUGGGCCAUGACUGGCUGAUCCGUUAGGAUCUAGGACUCUGCUAUGGAAAUAAGCACUGAGACCUGAUAUUAUAGAAAGCCUUAUGUGAGAGCAGGGGUGAAAAAAAGGUGAUGAAAUUUGCCAGCCCUUCCACUUUCUUUCUCUUGAAUUGAGAAAAAAAAGAAAGAAAGAAAGCCUUAAAGGAAGGGAGAUCAGAACAGGGAUUGCCUGUGGUUAAUACAAUUGCAUUUACCUUAACUACAGCACACAACUCAACUAUACAAUAAUGCAGCCUCCUCCAGAAAAGAGAGAGAAUUGAUUGGCUUAAGCUGAAACUAAGUUUCUGUUUUAACUUUUUAAGUCCCCUUCCUUAAUUGGAAGACGGACUGAUUACUGUUUUAACCACAAACACUCUGUUUAUCAAAAUUAUCUUCUAGACUAUCUACUUAAAAAAUAAUUGCCAGCCAUUGCAUACUAUUGGGAUAUGACUUUAAUAAAUGUAGACAGUAGCAUAAGAGAAAUUCCUCAUAGUCCAAAGAUUUCUAGCUGGAACAGCUACUUCAUACCUGAAAAGAUACUUCUUCCAUUAUAGCCAAGUUACCCGGCUUACAAUUUUAACUAUAAUUAUACCCCUCUUUGUAGGGAAUGGAGGAAAUAUUUUUCAGAACACUUUAGGAGUGGGGUCCAGUUUUUAAAGCUUGUGAGAUCUGUUGUAGAUAAAAUAAAAAGAUCUUAGAUCUGUGCAUGGUUGCCACAGCCUGGACUGGGAAGUCCUAUAUAAAUAAUGAAGUUCACUGACUUUCGAAGACUCAGUGCAAAAAAUAGACUAUCUUAGUAGGGAUUUUAUAUUUAAAAUAUUUUGAUGUGUUAGCACAUUUUUUUCAAUAUGACUACUAGAACACUUACAGAUUAUGUAUAUAUGGUAUACACUUGUGGUUUACAUUUCUGUUAGUAAGUGCUGUACUAUAUCAUUAAUAUACACUAUAAAGAUUACGUAGGACCCAGCCAAUAUUCCAGCUAGACAACUCUUACCUUUUGGGAGGCAUUACCCCUUAACUCAGCAGUAGGAAAUGACUGAGCUCUUAGUUUAAGUACCAGAUGCAGUGACUUCUAUUUGUUAGAGAUACAUGAAGUAAGAACAGUCUCCACUGGUUAUUUGUUCUUAGUUAUUACUCUCUUCUAAAUCUGAUUUUGAAGAGCAUGUAAGAACUUACUAUUUCUUCAUUCAGCAGUGUCAUUUGACUUGCUGGUCUCUUGUAUUUCCUUUCGGACAUGAUAGGAAAGGUCUACGGAUGAAUUGAAUUACAUAGAAAUAAUCAAGAAAACAUAAGGAUAAUGAGUCUUACUCUGCAAGUGCUAACCUCUUCCUCAGCAUUUUUUUUAUCAUGCUGUUUAAUGUGAGGUAGGUAGCCAAUUUUAGAGGCUUUGCAUGUGAUCUAACAGAAAUGAGAAUAAUAAGACUAAUAUUUGUGUGGUGUUUUAAAUUCUUCUCUCUCUAUUAUCUCUGAGUCAGGUAUGAAGUACGUUGAACCAGAGAUUAAAUGACUGGCUCAAGGUCAGGCAUCGACUUAGUUCUCACUCUUCAGAUUCCAAAUCAUUCUAUUUGAAAAAUCUCUCAAAAAAUCCAUCAAUAUCAUUUUAAAUGCAGAAUAUCUUAUUUAAAACAGCACAAAGAAAAAUAAGCACAUUUUUCUAAGAAGAGAAUUGUGAUUUGGAGGCUAUAUAUUGCUUUUUUUUGAAUUCCAUAGUGAGAGCGUCUCAAAUAUCAGGUCAGGUGCUGUACUGUAUCUGUACAGCCUGUACUGCAUUACAAACAAAAAACCUUAGAUGGAGGAAAUUAAUAAUAUAAAAUCUUUCAGUUAUUCCAACAAGAAUGAUCAUAGAUAUUCUAACAAGUUUUUAUGUUUAAUAGGAUCACAUUUUCAAAAUAUUUGUGGCAGAGACAGCUACACCAUUGCUUCACCACUCAGAGCCUGGAUCCUUACACCAAUGAAAAAAAAAAAAAUGGACAAAGCUUCCUUAUGGGGCUGUUACACUAUAUAGCUCACCUCCCAAAUGAUCCCAGUCCCAAAGCUAGAUGGUAAGGACUGGAGAAAGAAUAUUUUAUUACUGAUAUUUAAAAGUAUACCAUAAGAGGGGUGGGCAUAUAAUUCUACACUGUUCCCUCCAUCAGAAACUGCAAUAGUUCUCAACUGGGGAAAAAUUAAGUCUAACAACUUGAAAUGGGAAAUCUACCACACCCAUUCUAUUCACUGGGUUGGUGAAAGAGCUAAGAAAAAUGAGGCACCAGAGUCCAGUCCAAAAGGACACUAUGUAGCUGAAUACCCAGCAUCAAAGUAUUUCUAUAAGAAAAAAGGUUUAAACAUACUUAAAGGACUGUUACAAAUGACUAGGAAAUCCAUUGUACUUCAAUGGAUUAUAUAGAUUAUAUCUCAAAUAUACACUCAAUCAUAGCAAAAGAUUACAGAGCUUCUUUCUUGGGCUAUCAGCCUCCAUUUUAGUGAACAUUUUGGGAAAAGCUCUAUUAAUUAAAAUACUUUACUUAUGUACUAAUUUAUCAUCCUGCCUUUCAAAUGUGAAAAGAAACUACACAUAAAAUGGCUAAUUUAAAAUGUCAGCCUUCUUUUUUCCAAGCCAGCCUUACAUUAAAAGCAGGAAUCCCUUGCCAAAGAAAUGGUUCCCAAUUAUCCCAUCUUGGGUUUUCUUAUACAUUGUACAGAAGUCAACAAAACAAGUAUGUAACAGAACCUGCCAAAUAGCAGCCACCCUCAUUAAAAACAGAGAAUUAAUCGGGGUGAUUGAAGGAGUCAAUGCUUCAUAGAUUCCCCCCUUUUCUAAUCAUAGAACAAAAUAUGUUACAUAAAAGGAUCAGAACUAUUAUGUAGUAUUCAAUUAGAGGGAGGUGAAUAGGUCUCUAACAUGCUGUUUUAUCAAAAGAGCAGACUGGUGUUUGCAUGACUGUUGUUUCAUUACAGACCCUGUCAUUAAUUCCAUGUGUCAAUACUGCCCUGUAGUACACAGAGCAGACAAGAAAGAAGAGCCCUUGAAAACAAGGGAAUGAUUUUUGAGUCGUUAUCAAGCUAAGUGGCAAGCGGGAAGCUGAAACUCGUAUAGUUGAACAUUCUUGGAGGCUUAUCUCUUCCCUGGCCAGAUGCCUGAUCAGAUGAGAAGCCCGCCAUGAUACUGUCACAGUGCCUAGAAUGGGCUCUUUAUCCAGUAGCCAUCACUGUACUUUUUGAUGAUAACGAGGGCAGUCUUAACUUGUGUUAAGGCCUGUGUAUAGCAUUGAAGAGAGGAGUUGCUUAAACCAAUGGGACUGAAACCUGAUGGGACAAUAACGCCUUUGGAAGAAGCACUCAGCCAGUACUCUGUCAUCGAAGAGACCAGCUCUGAUACAGACUGAAAACAUCACCUGCUCAACUCUCAGUAC